AGAUAGGUUGGAAGUGGACGUGCCGUGAGGCAUGGAGCGGACCAAUACUAAUCGGUCGAGGACUUAACCAAG
This 72-nucleotide ribosomal RNA is filed under the name Loigolactobacillus coryniformis subsp. coryniformis. Its description in RNAcentral is "Lactobacillus coryniformis subsp. coryniformis partial 23S ribosomal RNA". The record is from RNAcentral. Lineage: Bacteria; Bacillati; Bacillota; Bacilli; Lactobacillales; Lactobacillaceae.